GGGGGAUUAGCUCAGCCAGGCAGAGCAGCGGCUUUGCAUGCCGCGUGUCGCCGGUUCGAUUCCGGCAUCCUCCACCA
Molecule: transfer RNA, 77 nt
Filed under: Desulfobacterales bacterium
Lineage: Bacteria; Pseudomonadati; Thermodesulfobacteriota; Desulfobacteria; Desulfobacterales
Description: tRNA-Ala
Rfam family: tRNA
About the family: Transfer RNA (tRNA) molecules are approximately 80 nucleotides in length. Their secondary structure includes four short double-helical elements and three loops (D, anti-codon, and T loops). Further hydrogen bonds mediate the characteristic L-shaped molecular structure. tRNAs have two regions of fundamental functional importance: the anti-codon, which is responsible for specific mRNA codon recognition, and the 3' end, to which the tRNAs corresponding amino acid is attached (by aminoacyl-tRNA synthetases). tRNAs cope with the degeneracy of the genetic code in two manners: having more than one tRNA (with a specific anti-codon) for a particular amino acid; and 'wobble' base-pairing, i.e. permitting non-standard base-pairing at the 3rd anti-codon position.
Source: RNAcentral